This 468-nucleotide ribosomal RNA is filed under the name uncultured bacterium. RNAcentral describes it as "partial 16S ribosomal RNA". It matches the Rfam family "Bacterial small subunit ribosomal RNA", at positions 28 to 507 of the family's 1533-position model. The record is from RNAcentral.
GACGAACGCUGGCGGCGUGCUUAACACAUGCAAGUCGAACGGAAAGGCCCUGCUUUUGUGGGGUGCUCGAGUGGCGAACGGGUGAGUAACACGUGAGUAACCUGCCCUUGACUUUGGGAUAACUUCAGGAAACUGGGGCUAAUACCGGAUAGGAGCUCCUGAUGCAUGGUGGGGGUUGGAAAGUUUCGGCGGUUGGGGAUGGACUCGCGGCUUAUCAGCUCGUUGGUGGGGUAGUGGCUUACCCAGGCUUUGACGGGUAGCCGGCCUGAGAGGGUGACCGGCCACAUUGGGACUGAGAUACGGCCCAGACUCCUACGGGAGGCAGCAGUGGGGAAUAUUGCACAAUGGGCGGAAGCAUGAUGCAGCAACGCCGCGUGCGGGAUGACGGCCUUCGGGUUGUAAACCGCUUUCGCCUGUGACGAAGCGUGAGUGACGGUAAUGGGUAAAGAAGCACCGGCUAACUACGUG